AACAUCUCACGAAAGUUCAAGUGCAUCGAUCACUGGAUCGAGGGAGAGUUUGGAAGGAUCCUUCGCGCGUGUGCUGUGCCGAAUCAGUCAGUCAUAAGCUCUUUUACCGGUAGCAAGUCAUGUCUAGCCGUUGGGUUUUGUUACUGAUCAGUCUGAUGCUCAUCGUAGGAUGUGUAUUUGCAAGGACGCAUCAUGACCAUCAUCAUCGGAUAAAGCCACUCAAGUACAGUUACGGAAUAUACGCUCCUACUGGCUGGACGGUUGCGCUUUACAUCUGGUACAUCGUUAAGUUGGGCUUUAUAUUAGGCGCUCUGCUGCUGUUACUGUUUGCUAAAAAAUGGAACACCAACCGGCAGCCUAUUGUUUUUGAAAGUGGACCUGAAUACUACCAUCAUCGAUCAUUGGACACGAUGGAGCCAAACCUUUUCCACCCAAGAAGCAGAAGAGAUGUGCGUCUUUACUGGAACGAUCGAAUAGAUGCAGUGCGAUCAACAUUACGAUAGUGAGCUUAGUUUAAUUAUAAUUAAGGUAAUAUUAAUACCAAUUAAACUGUAAUAAUUUAUUAAAAGUAAUUAAUAUAUAUAA
Long non-coding RNA from Anopheles gambiae (African malaria mosquito), 585 nucleotides. RefSeq lists it as uncharacterized. Lineage: Eukaryota; Metazoa; Arthropoda; Insecta; Diptera; Culicidae. The transcript has 3 exons. The record is from RefSeq and is a predicted model, not a curated record.